RNAcentral lists this ribosomal RNA (253 nucleotides) under uncultured bacterium. RNAcentral describes it as "partial 16S ribosomal RNA". It matches the Rfam family "Bacterial small subunit ribosomal RNA", at positions 524 to 776 of the family's 1533-position model. The record is from RNAcentral.
UACGUAGGGGGCGAGCGUUGUCCGGAAUCAUUGGGCGUAAAGCGCGCGCAGGCGGCUCGGAGAGCCCGGCGUGAAAGCCCCCGGCUCAACCGGGGGAGGCCGUCGGGGACCUUCGGGCUGGAGGCCGGCAGGGGGGAGUGGAAUUCCCGGUGUAGUGGUGGAAUGCGUAGAGAUCGGGAGGAACACCGGUGGCGAAGGCGGCUCCCUGGGCCGGUCCUGACGCUGAGGCGCGAAAGCGUGGGGAGCGAUCCGG